CCUACGGGAGGCAGCAGUGGGGAAUAUUGGGCAAUGGGCGCAAGCCUGACCCAGCGACGCCGCGUGAAGGAAGAAGUCUUUCGGGUUGUAAAGUUCUUUUCUGAGGGACGAAGAAGGUGACGGUACCUCAAGAAUAAGCCACUGCUAACUACCUGCCAGCAGCCGCGGUAAUACGUAGGGGGCAAGCGUUAUCCGGAUUUAUUGGGUGUAAAGGGCGAGUAGGCGGGAAAGCAAGUCAGAUGUGAAAACUCAGGGCUCAACCCUGAGGCUGCAUUUGAAACUGUUUUUCUUGAGUGCUGGAGAGGUAAUCGGAAUUCCGUGUGUAGCGGUGAAAUGCGUAGAUAUACGGAGGAACACCAGUGGCGAAGGCGGAUUGCUGGACAGUAACUGACGUUGAGGCGCGAAAGCGUGGGGAGCAAACAGGAUUAGAUACCCGGGUAGUC
Molecule: ribosomal RNA, 443 nt
Filed under: uncultured bacterium
Lineage: Bacteria
Description: partial 16S ribosomal RNA
Rfam family: Bacterial small subunit ribosomal RNA
Source: RNAcentral